This is a non-coding RNA of Pelobates cultripes (western spadefoot toad), 294 nucleotides long. The record is from the annotation of a GenBank genome assembly. NCBI's taxonomy places the organism in Eukaryota, Metazoa, Chordata, Amphibia, Anura, Pelobatidae.
CUUGAUAAUAUAACCGGUAUGUUUCUACUGGAAGCAGUGGUGGCUGCUCCAAUGCAGAAGGGGUGUCAUGAGUUGUGGGAUGGAUUGAGAGCUAAUAUUGCCAGUAAUACUCUAAUAUAGAGCAUUACUGGCAAUGAAUUUAGAAGUGGUGAGAGCAUUGCCAGGUAAAGUAAAUAAAGAUUGGUCAGAGGAACAAUUGUUAGAAAUUUAUCUAGUACCUGUACAGGGCACCAGUUGUUGCCGGGAGGGUAAUAGGGGAUCUUUACCAGAUGAUUUUUUUGGUGUGGUUUUAGU